RNAcentral lists this ribosomal RNA (371 nucleotides) under uncultured bacterium. Its description in RNAcentral is "bacterial SSU rRNA". It matches the Rfam family "Bacterial small subunit ribosomal RNA", at positions 527 to 896 of the family's 1533-position model. The record is from RNAcentral.
GUAGGGUGCGAGCGUUAAUCGGAAUUACUGGGCGUAAAGCGUGCGCAGGCGGUUCGCCAAGUCAGGUGUGAAAUCCCCGGGCUUAACCUGGGAAUGGCGCUUGAAACUAUGGUGCUGGAGUGUGACAGAGGGAGGUGGAAUUCCACGUGUAGCGGUGAAAUGCGUAGAGAUGUGGAGGAACACCGAUGGCGAAGGCAGCCUCCUGGGUCAACACUGACGCUCAUGCACGAAAGCGUGGGGAGCAAACAGGAUUAGAUACCCUGGUAGUCCACGCCCUAAACGAUGACGACUAGUUGUUGGAGGAGUUAAAUCCUUCAGUAACGCAGCUAACGCGUGAAGUCGUCCGCCUGGGGAGUACGGUCGCAAGAUUA